This 3591-nucleotide long non-coding RNA is filed under the name Ananas comosus (pineapple). RNAcentral's name for it is "long non-coding RNA (ACOM_LNC035730)". The record is from RNAcentral. Lineage: Eukaryota; Viridiplantae; Streptophyta; Magnoliopsida; Poales; Bromeliaceae.
GGCAGUGAGAGACCGGUCCCCGAAGGACCAAAUCUCCAGACUUAGCCAAUUUUUCAACAUUUUCAGCCUUCGUCCGUUUUCGCUCCGUUUUCGCUCGUUUUCACUCGUUUGACCUCCGAUUCUUUUCAAAUCGAACCGAGACUCUCCAAACAUGUUUUUGAACAUGUUUUCAUCAUCUUUUCGUCCACGCUAAUGUCGGAUUUAGCUCACGGCCCAACAUAGGCUUUCGGGUUUCGUUUUCGCGCCUACGCGCACUGAAACGCCCGAGUGCUCCAGAACUUCACCGAACUUCACCGGGAUCAUUCAAAUGGCUUUCCAACCAAAUGUACAUCAUAACUUCAAAGUUUUAAAAGUUCGGUAUGUUACAACAAUGCACUUAUUGUGCUUUCGACACCUUCGGCCUUUCCGAAGCGGACCCAACCGAUAAUCGGUCGAUUCCAAUCGAAGUCAACCCUCGUAUUUUGAGAAUUCACUUCCUUAUAAGCGUGGAGUCCUGCUAGGUGAUCACCUCGCUAUUUUGAGUUUGCUGACGAGGGUGAUGCGUACCCAUGUAUAGAGAGACUACCAUUUGUGUUUAUAGUUCUUGUGGCGACCCUGUGGUGUAUAUGUAUGAUUAGUGUGAUGUGUUUACCGUUUUUGUUUCUACAUCUUGUUGAGCUUUGUGGAGUUUAUACUUGUAUCCUCUAGCUAGUAGUACUUUUGAUAGAUUUUUGUACAUACUUUACUCUGAUAUCAUGCUAGAAUCUUCAACUCAUUGUUACUUUCCUGACAUGAUUUUAGUGGACGUCUUAUAUGUUAGAAAAUUGCAUACGGUAAAAACGCAGCGAAAAAGAAUCAAACAAAUUUGAUUUUGAAACCUCUCGAGAUCCAAUCUCAAAAACCACGCAAUUAGGAUCCGUAAUGUUCUUUAAGAUUAAAGAAGAAAAAUAAGAUCGAAUCUUUACCUUUUUUGCGGAUAGAUCUUCGCCUCAACUUGAUGAUUGUGGAAUUGGGUUCUCUUGAAGCCGCACACGCGUCCGGCCUCUAUAGGUGUCACGCCCCGAGACCGCUACCAAUUUGGUCCGGCCCCGGGCGCGUCAAACAGACGCCGAACGUACAGUACCUCCCCUGUCCGCCCAAGGCUAACCAACAGAUCAUGUAUAAGAAUUUACCCAGGAAUCAAUUCAUAAAUACACGAUCAAGAAGCACCACCAGUGCAACAACCAAGAGCAAGAUACAAGUAUAGAAACAUAUACAAGUACAUAAGAGAGAAGAUGUUAUCUAUUACAUUCAUUUGGCUCAAUACAUUUAAGUACGUCUUUUAUAUUCUUCCAAAAACAUAAAUACAAGCACUCAAACCUCACCCUAUACAUCAUCAACUCUCAAAUAUAAAUAAGGGUAGAGCUAACACAAAAGGGUAGGUGGCUAAUGCAACUAAGGCGCCGGGCCCUUACCGCGAUCCUCACGCUCGCCCGGGAAGCUCGAACUCGGACCUGAAAAGAGUGGGGUGAGAACUAACUUCCUUAGUUCCCAGUGGGUUCGGCCGCCGACUCCGCCGGUCUCCCCACUAGGUCCAAGUGGGCACAAGUAGAUAUACCGAUAUAUAGAUAAUAAGAAAAGCUGUAAGGACAGGAAAGUAAAGCUACACUACUAUGCCCAAUCAUAGAUAUAUGAAUGCAUGUCCAAUGAAAUGGUAAGCAACUAACCUGUCGUCAUGUCAAAAAGGUAAAGUUAUGUACUUGUUCAUUAAUCUCAUUUACUAGUUUCUUAAUCCCGUGGCUUCUCUGAAAACUUGCCUACCGCUCACUAGCCAUCUCGAAGGUAGGGAGGGUCAACUCGCACUACGAACCGAGACCGUCUGCCGGGGCCCAAAAUAGGCAAUCCCUUGGGACCCAAAAUAGGCAAUCCCACGUGACCAACUCCGGAGCGCACUACUUGUGUGGGGCUUCCAUCACAAGAUUUAAAAACAGACCGUGAGCAUGAUCCAAUCCUCGUCUCGAGAAUACCCUAUCCUCUAGGGUUACCAUCAUCAUAUAGUCCAUAGGUUUCACAUACACUAUGACUCAUAUGUGUCAUUUGUUCUCUUAUACACUAUUAACUAGAUUGCCACUCGUCCAUUGUUUACUAUCGACUAGAUGCCACUCGUUCUUUGUUUAACACUAGACCAACCAUUGAGCCCAUCUCUUUCUUUGCACUAUAGGAUUCACAAUCUCGACCCAAUCCUUAUCGAUCCACUAUAUCAAGUAUCCAAUACAUGCUACGAUAUCAUCAAGGAAAGCAUAAGGAAAGGCAAUGCACAAUCAUCCUAUAAUGCAAUAAUACAAGAUGCAAGAAUCGAAAUGUACUAAGACAUAGAAGGGGGCCCAGUUGCUUCGGGAUGGUCACCACCCACCUCUUGGUGAUGCCGCGAUGAUAGAAAACUUGACGUUGCGGUUCUUGCCCGUCGCCCUAGCUCCUCGGGGCGAAGCGAGCCCUCAAGUACCCGAUUCGGCGAUUUCUCUGCACCCGCUCGUCGGAUCGAGAAACCGACUUCGCCGACGCGCUCCGGGACCUAGCAAUUAGGUUUGCGACCUAUUAAAUUAGAUCAAAACCCUAGAUUUCCAAAAUCCCAGUUUCGUGCCCUAGAAUGGCAACGGGGAAGAAAUCCGUGGUGCGAGCUUCGAUUUCGAGCUCGAACCAUCUAUUUAUCUCCAAUAGGUUCCAUUCGAACCAUUCCUAAGCAAUAAAACCCAAUCUCAAGCAAUCCACCAUGGAUGGGUUUGAGGUUUACCUCUAAACCAAGCUCCAAGCUUGCUCUAGCUUGAAGGAGAGAGGGAAGAAGACCUUCUUCUUCUUCUUCUUGGACUUUUCCCUCCACUUCUUCUUCUUUUCUUUCCUUUCUUUCUUCUCCUUCUUCUUCUCCUUCUUUUCUUUCUAGAGAGAGAGAGUGAAAGAGUGUGAGAUGGAGAGAGAGCAAAUGAGAAGGGGAGAGGGGUCCCCAAGCCUCUAAUAAGGCCAUUUUGCAAUUAGCCCCCUCAACUUUUCAUCUUUAGAACCAGCCCUCUCUGGGCAUUUUCGCAGUGAGGGACCGGUCCCAGCUAGGGGAGACCGGUCCCCGAAAGCUGCAAUUCUGAGCAAAAGGGAUUUCGCGUUCGGGAACUGGUCCCCGGGAGACCGGUCCUUGUCCGAGAGAUCGGUUCCCGAAAGCUGAGUUUUCGGGACUUAGCCAAAUUUCGGCUAUUUUCGCUCGGCCAACUUUCGGGAACCGGUCCCUACCUGCCAGGGACCGGUCUCAUCAGAGACCUCCACAGCCCAGCCUGAUGGAACCGGUCCCUCCCUGCCAGGGACCGGUCCCCGAGAGCAUUUCUGCUCCAGUGCAAGUUUUGCACUGGUGCUCUCGCGGACCUUUCCUUAAUGCACUUUACGCAUUAUAGCCACAUUUGGACUUUCCGAAGCCUACACGCUCGACAAAUAGUCGAUUCCAAACCGAAGUCUAAUCCUCGAAUUUCGAGGAUUCACUUCCUUCCAUCCUCCUCACCUUAAAAGAGUUUCGUUCUCGAAACGAACUCAAUACUACCAAACUUAAUUAGAAUUCCAAAUUCUAAACUCAUACCUCGAUUUAACCUUCGAAUA